Molecule: ribosomal RNA, 406 nt
Filed under: uncultured bacterium
Lineage: Bacteria
Description: partial 16S ribosomal RNA
Rfam family: Bacterial small subunit ribosomal RNA
Source: RNAcentral
AUUGAACGCUGGCGGCAGGCCUAACACAUGCAAGUCGAACGAGUGGCGGACGGGUGAGUAAUGUCUGGGAAACUGCCCGAUGGAGGGGGAUAACUACUGGAAACGGUAGCUAAUACCGCAUACCAUCGGAUGUGCCCAGAUGGGAUUAGCUAGUAGGUGGGGUAACGGCUCACCUAGGCGACGAUCCCUAGAUGGUCUGAGAGGAUGGACGCCCACAUUGGGACUGGGAAACGGCCCGGACUCUUACGGGGGGCAGUAGUGGGGAAUCUUCCGCAAUGGACGAAAGUCUGACGGAGAAACGCCGCGUGCGGGAUGACGGCCUUCGGGUUGUAAACCGCUUUCAGCCAUGACGCGGUAGUGGCAGAAGAAGCACCGGCUAACUACGUGCCAGCAGCCGCGGUAAUUC